UCAAGUUCGGCCAACCCAUUAGUGGUAGGCUGGGCCCUCCAUGAGGGUACCCAGAUGUCUAUCUCUAUCAAGCUCCAGAGUGAUAUGGAGCUGAGCAAGAGCUCGACAUGAAUAUGUUGGCAGCAGUUAGUGCGCCAAUUCAUGAACCGCAAGCUCACGGAUCAGUUGUAGAUUUUCCUUAAAGUAUUCCCCCAAGGUUUAUCAAUCUGUGGAAUAAGUGGAAUGCAGGCUUUCACUUUAUACUAAUCUAAACAACAGAGAUUGUUACAAGAUAGCAACAAAGAUAGAUUUGUGUUACCUCCCUACAAUCUAGGUUCACAAGAAUAUGCAUCUACUAGACAAAGGGGUGCUGCCUUCACUAGCUUCAUAGCGGUUACGUGCUCGCUCGGUCCUUUCCCUCCUACAUACAAUCACUACAAAAGGGUAAUCAACCACCUCAC
Molecule: long non-coding RNA, 440 nt
Filed under: Setaria viridis
Lineage: Eukaryota; Viridiplantae; Streptophyta; Magnoliopsida; Poales; Poaceae
Description: long non-coding RNA (SVIR_LNC007932)
Source: RNAcentral